GGCGUGCCCUCGAGGGCGGGGCGCUCCCGGGGACCUGGGGCUGCUGCUCCCCGAGCCGUGCUUUGCAGAGGCAAGCGUCUAUGAUUUAAAUGCUAGCUUUGCCGCUUACUGGCUGAAAGACUUUAAAUGACAAUAACAAAAAAUGAAGAGGAUGAUGAUGAUGAUACAAGAUACCAUUGCCCGUGUGUACCAGACAUCAUGCUAAGGUCUUUGUCACCUGGACUGGAGUGCAGUGGUGGGAUCACAACUCACUGCAGCCUCAAUGUCCCAGGCUCAAACAAUCCUCCUGCCUCAGCCUCCCGAGUAGCUGGGACU
This 315-nucleotide long non-coding RNA is filed under the name Homo sapiens (human). Its description in RNAcentral is "HSALNT0255192". Lineage: Eukaryota; Metazoa; Chordata; Mammalia; Primates; Hominidae. The record is from RNAcentral.